Molecule: ribosomal RNA, 253 nt
Filed under: uncultured bacterium
Lineage: Bacteria
Description: partial 16S ribosomal RNA
Rfam family: Bacterial small subunit ribosomal RNA
Source: RNAcentral
UACGGGGGGGGCAAGCGUUGUUCGGAAUUACUGGGCGUAAAGGGCUUGUAGGUGGCCAACUAAGUCAGACGUGAAAUCCCUCGGCUUAACCGGGGAACUGCGUCUGAUACUGGAUGGCUUGAGUGUGGGAGAGGGAUGCGGAAUUCCCGGUGUAGCGGUGAAAUGCGCAGAUAUCGGGAGGAACACCGGUGGCGAAGGCGGUUCUCUGGGCCUGUACUGACGCUGAGGAGCGAAAGCGUGGGGAGCGAACAGG